GUGCUUGCUUCGGCAGCACGUAUACUAAAAUUGGAACGAUACAGAGAAGAUUAGCAUGGUCCCUGAACAAGGAUGAUGUGCAAAUUCGUGAAGCGUUCAUAUUUUUG
Molecule: small nuclear RNA, 107 nt
Filed under: Phocoena sinus (vaquita)
Lineage: Eukaryota; Metazoa; Chordata; Mammalia; Artiodactyla; Phocoenidae
Source: RNAcentral